CAGGCCGACCGCGUUGCAAAAGCUUUAAGGCUGACUGCUUGCCGUUCUCUGAGCCAUUUGUCUUCACCGAGAAGCUUGAAGCACAAGCGGGAAGUGCGAAAACAACUGCUGCAUACUCCGUGCGCUCACUUCACAAUGAAGACAGUAUUGCUAGCUUUCUGCCUUGGGGUGUUUGCCUUCACUACAUUGUCGAACAUGACAGCAGCCUACAAAGUGACCCAUGUUGAAAUAGGCCUUGGAUGUCCACAGUCACUGCUGAAUUGUUCGCAAACAUGCCGAAGCACUUAUGGUCAUCAAGGUGGACAUUGCAUUGGGCCGCUCAACACCGUCUGCACCUGUACCUGAACGGGCUUCAAAAGGUUUAAUUAUGCUGCCUUACCCUUCUUGUUCACAUUUUAUUGCUUGGAGCACAAGAUGCCCGAGUGAAAAUUUUCGCUCAUCAUGGUAACAGAUUGUACCCGUUGUAAUGACGCGGGUACCUCGACGCAUUGUACCAUUAAAAAUACGCAAUUUCUUUUUAUGGUACAUCGUUGGUAUGUUUUUGAUAAGUUAUCAUAUCUUCGUGAUCACUUUAUUAUGAAUAAAGUUUGAUUGUUGCAAGUUG
Molecule: long non-coding RNA, 604 nt
Organism: Dermacentor silvarum
Lineage: Eukaryota; Metazoa; Arthropoda; Arachnida; Ixodida; Ixodidae
Exons: 3
Source: RefSeq, a predicted model, not a curated record